Molecule: non-coding RNA, 1889 nt
Organism: Xyrichtys novacula (pearly razorfish)
Lineage: Eukaryota; Metazoa; Chordata; Actinopteri; Labriformes; Labridae
Source: the annotation of a GenBank genome assembly
CAGGCUCAAGGCUGCCCCUGCGUGGACAUCACGUGCACCUGUGACACCACUCAGGUCCUUGUCUUUCUAUAGAUUGCCUUUUUUAUUCUGCGCUUCAAAUUUCUCUCACUGCGCUGGUUUCUUACAUUUAAUGUCACAUCAUAAUUUUAUGACUUACGCGCAAUAAAUCUGCGUCUUUUGUGCCACAUUACUACACAGUGUCACGUGUUUGGUCACCUCUCUGACACUAACAGGUAGUUUGUAAAAAAUGAAAGAAUCAGAUGCUCCAAAAUGCACAAUUGAUCUGAUUUGUUUUUUAAUUGCCUGCCAAUAAGCGGGGGAAAAGAAUUUAGUGUGAGUAAAUGUCUCGCUUCCCUGCUAAAAGAAACUGCUUGUAAAUGAGUCAAUUGGAAGGAUCGAUUGGAUUAUCAUUUCGUUUCCAGCUCAUAUCCACGCUUCAGUUCAGCCGCGAACACAUCCUAUUGAUCAGGCACGAUGGAAGAGGAGGCUGCCAGAGAUGAGAGCCGAUAAUGAAGGGCGUAUUUGUUUGGGUUAAAACCUUAAUCAGUUUGCAGCAGUGGAUGAACCCUAAAUCCAAAGUGCCAUAAAUCAUAUUACAAACACUUUCACUCUUAUUAUCCGAACAUGAUCUAGUUUGGAUUUCCUUUUACGCAAUUCAGAGUAUGGUUUGGUUAAUUUUUGGGCCACAUUUUGGCCAGAAGUCUGACUUUAAAAAAAGACAGAAAAACAGAAACACAGAGAGAAAGAAAUAAUAAUUUUAAAGAUUGUUAACAAUUUCCUGCAGCAUCAAGAUCCAGAAUGAUUUAUGAGUAACACUUACCUGUCUGUCAUUUUGUACUGAUAAUUAUUUAAGAUCAGAACUAAGUUAAUUUUUCCCCGUAUUGUUUUACGCACUAACAUAAUUAUUUUGGCACAAAAGCACGUCAGGGUCAUUUACUAGAAUUUUAGGGUAUUUUAAGAUCACUCUUUCAGCUACUAAAAUCCUUUCACUUCUGAAGUUUAGCGGGUUAGUCCCUGAGACAGCUGCAUGCUGAUUCAUCCUAACUUUUUUCCUAAUUCACUGUCAAAAGGUGCAGGUAGCGUUCAAGUUACAGCUCUCUUUUUAUUCUCUACAACUGCAGGCAAGCUUCUCUAUUUCUCGGCUCCAACUUUGAAAGCGCCCCGAGCGAGUCGUGCCGUGCUGUGCCGUGUCGUGCCGCGUCGAGCUGCUCUAAAAACUCUCCCUGCGAGGCCGACCCGACGGCAGCCCCAUUAGGUCGUAAUGCUCUCUAAUAUAGCCCGAGUCCAGCGUCUAAUAGAUCGCGGCAGGCCUGCCGGCGGCUCUCCCCCCUCGGUCAUAACGCGCUGUAAUGGAGAGACGAGAUGUAAAAAAGCGUCCAUGUCAGCAGCAUAUCGCUGGUUAAUGAUCUAUUAAGUGAUCCGUGUGCUUAUGGACAGCGAAAAAAAGUGUUGAUGCUUGCUUAUUCGUCCUUAAUGAGAGUCCCAUCCUACGGAUUUUAGGAAUGAAUAACAGAAAUAAAAUCACCUUUAAAAUGUUACAUUUAACAGUUGACGCAUGGAGGCUGCAGCGGCUGCACAGCUCCCCACAGCUCACAUCUCACACCUGCAGCAGGCCCGAUGCUUUCACACAGGGGGCCCAUGGAUGAUCACAGGAAGAGACAUGAUUCCUCUAACAAAUAUGGAUUUCUAUUCUGCUCCAGGACCGCAGAUACAUGCACCUACUGUCCAGAGGCCGGGCUGCACGCACUUGGAAGCGCUUGGAUCUGCGUGAACUAAGACUACUUUCUGUAUGGGAGGAUGUGCUCACUACAAGGAUUAUUUUUCACAGCCAAAACCAGACCGUGUCCCGCUCUGAGGCAAACAGUUGGUUUUAUUUGCUGAUCUUAUGG